GUAGGGAAUCUUGCGCAAUGGGCGAAAGCCUGACGCAGCCAUGCCGCGUGAAUGAUGAAGGUCUUAGGAUUGUAAAAUUCUUUCACCGGGGACGAUAAUGACGGUACCCGGAGAAGAAGCUCCGGCUAACUUCGUGCCAGCAGCCGCGGUAAUACGAAGGGGGCUAGCGUUGCUCGGAAUUACUGGGCGUAAAGGGCGCGUAGGCGGAUAUUUAAGUCGGGGGUGAAAGCCCGGGGCUCAACCUCGGAAUAGCCUUCGAUACUGGAUAUCUUGAGUACGGGAGAGGUGUGUGGAACUCCGAGUGUAGAGGUGAAAUUCGUAGAUAUUCGGAAGAACACCAGAGGCGAAGGCGACACACUGGCCCGUUACUGACGCUGAGGCGCGAAAGCGUGGGGAGCAAACAGGAUUAGAUACCCGUGUAGUCC
This 425-nucleotide ribosomal RNA is filed under the name uncultured bacterium. Its description in RNAcentral is "bacterial SSU rRNA". It matches the Rfam family "Bacterial small subunit ribosomal RNA", at positions 354 to 796 of the family's 1533-position model. The record is from RNAcentral.